This 310-nucleotide long non-coding RNA is filed under the name Elaeis guineensis (African oil palm). RNAcentral describes it as "long non-coding RNA (EGUI_LNC073665)". Lineage: Eukaryota; Viridiplantae; Streptophyta; Magnoliopsida; Arecales; Arecaceae. The record is from RNAcentral.
CAGCUCCCUAGGCCGGAGAGGAUGCGCACACACCCCGAGAAGUGCAACCCCAACAAGUUCUGCCUCUACCACCGCGACCACGGCCACGACAUAGAGGAAUGCAUCCAGCUCUGGGAUGAGAUCGAGGAGCUCAUUUAGCGAGGUCGACUCGACAGGUUCAUCCGACGCAGGCCCGAGGGUAGAGGAGAUCGGCCAAGGGCCCUUCCACAGCCUGAACCGCCAAGAAGGGAGGAGCAACCCGGGGACCGACCUCCCAUCGGGACCAUCGACUCCAUCACCGGAGGGCCUCAAGGAGGAGCGGACCACCCGC